CUACGCAAAAUUUUACUGCUGAUCAAGUACCACAGAGAAGGUCAACUAAUCGUACAGAACAACCCACUCUACCUACUCAUGAUCAACACAGAUUGAGAUGGCGUAACAAAGCUAGAGAAAGACAAGCUGCUUUAAGCAAUGAGCAAACGUCAACAACAAUUGGCACGAUGACAAUCAAACUACAACCAACGACACCAUCCAGGAGGAUACACGUUGAACUUUCUCAAUAAUGUCCCAAGAUGAGUUCGAUCAUCAAGGCAUCACCAUCCAUCAGGUCUCAAUACAACGUGAAUGUCAAGUCGUCGUCGACAGACACAUACUACCCAACAUCCUCGAAAUACACGUUUGCCUGUAAUACCAGAAGAGGGAACCUCAAACGUAUUUCAUGAGAUUACGCCUAUACCAA
Long non-coding RNA from Rhododendron vialii, 406 nucleotides. RefSeq lists it as uncharacterized. The transcript is spliced from 3 exons. The record is from RefSeq and is a predicted model, not a curated record. Lineage: Eukaryota; Viridiplantae; Streptophyta; Magnoliopsida; Ericales; Ericaceae.